AUGAGCCUGAGAUGUCCGAUAAUUCUGCAAUUUUGAACCUACAUUUUUUUGAACGGGACUUUGAGAGUUUUUAUGAUGUCAAGCCGUCGAGAACGGACGAUUGAAUAUCAGCUGAGAAGACCCACCUGGCGUUUGCUAGGCGUCAAAAUAGUAGAACCGGCAUUUUGGGUCUUUC
Molecule: non-coding RNA, 175 nt
Filed under: Eubacteriales bacterium
Lineage: Bacteria; Bacillati; Bacillota; Clostridia; Eubacteriales
Description: 6S RNA
Rfam family: 6S / SsrS RNA
About the family: E. coli 6S RNA was the first non coding RNA to be sequenced, but its function was unknown until recently. It consists of 184 nucleotides that fold into an extended hairpin structure with a large single-stranded internal bulge.
Source: RNAcentral